GUACUGACAUGGUAUCCCCAGAACACUGAUUCUCCUCCUCAAGCUGCCUGCAUUCCAGAAUCUGAGACCAGAUUUCCUUGGAUGGAAGAGUAAGGCCAGACUUUGGGCUUUGCCUAUGGCCAAGAAUGGGUGAGAACAACCAGCCUCUGAGGCUAAAAGCAAGAUGGAGUCAGGUAUGCUAGAUUUCUCUCACUGUCAUUUUUGCUAAGUGAUUUCGCUAGUGUU
Molecule: long non-coding RNA, 225 nt
Filed under: Callithrix jacchus (white-tufted-ear marmoset)
Lineage: Eukaryota; Metazoa; Chordata; Mammalia; Primates; Cebidae
Description: lncRNA (ENSCJAG00000059599.2)
Source: RNAcentral